This 336-nucleotide unclassified non-coding RNA is filed under the name soil metagenome. RNAcentral describes it as "partial contains 5.8S ribosomal RNA, internal transcribed spacer 2, and large subunit ribosomal RNA". The stretch from base 1 to 120 matches the Rfam family "5.8S ribosomal RNA", at positions 35 to 154 of the family's 154-position model. The record is from RNAcentral.
GAUGAAGAACGCAGCGAAAUGCGAUAAGUAAUGUGAAUUGCAGAAUUCAGUGAAUCAUCGAAUCUUUGAACGCACAUUGCGCCCGCCAGUUUUCUGGCGGGCAUGCCUGUUCGAGCGUCAUUUCAACCAUCAAGCCCCCGGCUUGUGUUGGGGACCUGCGGCUGCCGCAGGCCCUGAAAAGCAGUGGCGGGCUCGCUGUCACACCGAGCGUAGUAGCAUACAUCUCGCUCUGGGCGUGCUGCGGGUUCCGGCCGUUAAACCACCUUCAUAACCCAAGGUUGACCUCGCAUCAGGUAGGAAGACCCGCUGAACUUAAGCAUAUCAAUAAGCGGAGGA